This 458-nucleotide ribosomal RNA is filed under the name Theileria annulata. RNAcentral's name for it is "SSU rRNA". It matches the Rfam family "Eukaryotic small subunit ribosomal RNA", at positions 486 to 984 of the family's 1831-position model. The record is from RNAcentral. Lineage: Eukaryota; Apicomplexa; Aconoidasida; Piroplasmida; Theileriidae.
CUGGGCUUAAAGUCUUGUAAUUGGAAUGAUGGGAAUUUAAACCUCUUCCAGAGUAUCAAUUGGAGGGCAAGUCUGGUGCCAGCAGCCGCGGUAAUUCCAGCUCCAAUAGCGUAUAUUAAAAUUGUUGCAGUUAAAAAGCUCGUAGUUGAAUUUCUGCUGCAUUGCUUGUGUCCCUCUUGGGUCUGUGCAUGUGGCUUUUUUCGGACGGAGUUUCUUUGUCUGAAUGUUUACUUUGAGAAAAUUAGAGUGCUCAAAGCAGGCUUUCGCCUUGAAUAGUUUAGCAUGGAAUAAUAAAGUAGGACUUUGGUUCUAUUUUGUUGGUUUUAGGUACCAAAGUAAUGGUUAAUAGGAACAGUUGGGGGCAUUCGUAUUUAACUGUCAGAGGUGAAAUUCUUAGAUUUGUUAAAGACGAACUACUGCGAAAGCAUUUGCCAAGGAUGUUUUCAUUAAUCAAGAAC